RNAcentral lists this ribosomal RNA (365 nucleotides) under uncultured bacterium. RNAcentral describes it as "bacterial SSU rRNA". It matches the Rfam family "Bacterial small subunit ribosomal RNA", at positions 30 to 396 of the family's 1533-position model. The record is from RNAcentral.
AUUGAACGCUGGCGGCAUGCCUUACACAUGCAAGUCGAACGCGAAAGGGGGGCAACCCCCGAGUAGAGUGGCGAACGGGUGAGUAAUACAUCGGAACGUAUCCAGUAGCGGGGGAUAACCUCUCGAAAGAGAGGCUAAUACCGCAUACGACCUACGGGUGAAAGAGGGGGAUCGCAAGACCUCUCACUAUUGGAGCGGCCGAUGUCGGAUUAGCUAGUUGGUGGGGUAACGGCCCACCAAGGCUACGAUCCGUAGCUGGUCUGAGAGGACGACCAGCCACACUGGAACUGAGACACGGUCCAGACUCCUACGGGAGGCAGCAGUGGGGAAUUUUGGACAAUGGGCGCAAGCCUGAUCCAGCCAUG